CCUGGCGCCACCCUUCGGGGCCUGCAAGGACCCAGUUGGGGGGGCAAGAGGGGGCUGGGGGAUGGUUGGUGGUGGGCUUUCUACUUUGCCUUUUUCUCCUCAUGCCGCCUUAGUGAGGGGCAGGAGCUUUGGCGGCAGCUCCGGGGUAGGGAGACAAGCCCCGGAGUCGGAAGAGCUGGGUUUGCUUCCGGGCCUAGCCACCAGCUGGCCGAGUGACCUUAGGCAAGUCACUCUAAUUUUCUGCGCCUCAGUUUCCUCCUAUGCCUGUCCAUGUUUGUGGGAUUGAAAGCGCUUUGUAAACUAUAAAGCAUCCGUGUUCGUAAGGGAUGAUUAUUGUUUGUAAUGGUUGUUGUUAGUUACGAGAAAACUUAGCAAUUGCCCAGUCCUUGGAUUUUGAACCUGGGAACCUUGGAUUGGAGUUGGGAUCCCCAAACUCCCCGAAAUUGUAUGCAGAAAUUAGUGGGAAUGUGUGUUUUAGGGGAAUAAGGAUCCAUCGCUUCUGUGACCCAGAAGAGUUAAGAACCACAAUUCCUUUAUGCUACAGGGAGGAAACUGAGGCCUAGAUGUCAUUUGGGACCCUUCACAACCAAUUUGAAGCCCCUGUUUGAAUCCCUGGGAUAUGUGAGCUGUUUCUAUGCAUAAUGGAUAUUCGGGGUAAUGACACUCCGCUGUUUGGCUUCUAUUCUGAGUCUUGUCUUUUCACCAUGGGGUGCCUGAAGGGUGGCUGAUACAUGUGGUACAAUGGCACCCAAUAUAAAGCAGCUAAAACCAGGAGUGGAUGUGUUUUCGGGUAUCAAGAAGCCUAUUUAAUCUGGCCCGACAACUCUGUGUUUUCUGCUGCUUUUACUGGUGCCUGACUACCUUUCUGACUUUCAUUGACCAUUUUCCACGAGUAUAGUUGCUAUCCGUUACUUGCUCCUAUUUUCUAUCCCUAAUCUGUGGUUGGUAGUGAGCAGGCUUAUUUUUAAAUGGUGCUGCCCAGUCCACGUAAUUAAUGGUGCAGGUGGAUUUUUAGCAGGCUGGCUCCCUGGAACAGACUGAACCAGGCGUGGAAUUACUGAAGAUGUUUGGGGGUUUUUCUUUAUUAAGUGAAAGUUAACAUUCUCUGAAAAGUUUUGUUAGAACCUCUGAACCUCAAAAUCAGUAGAUUUGGGAAUAUUUCAAAGCUUAACUUUUUCCUGGCCUGCUUUCUCUUCUAUUUGCUUGCAAGUGUGUUACUAAGAUGGCCAAAAUGCCAGUUUUUGCUUCUUUGUUAAUUAUCAGCUGCUUUUAUCAAAUUCCAGGCCAUUAUCCAGCAAACACUAUAGAAAUGUUUGAACAGUUGGAUUUCAAACAUUUUCGUGUUGUGGAGUGGUGCUUACCAGUGGUACAGCUCUAAGCAAGUGAACACAAACACAUUUCAGUGUAUUUUGUCUGGUUAGGUGUUACCAGUUCUGCUGUUUCAUACAGAUGUCUGAAAAAAUCGAUUGACUAUUCCCUUUGUCUAAAGGGCAGAGACAGAUGAUCUCACUUCCAGAGAAAUGACUGUUUUGGAGAAAAAUGUGUUGUUCUUUUAGUUCUUUUGUAAUUCUGGAGGUACCUCAAAAGAAUCUUAAAGACUGUGGUGAUAAGAUGCUUUCCUCAGGAGAGAGAGAGGAGGAAAAAAACAACUGGAACUUAAGCUUGAAAUUCUGUGACAGAACGUGAGAUGUCCAGGAUAGGAGGUUGAAAGGAUUUCACUACAGUGUUCUGCACUAGCUGGAGCAGAUGUCUUUCAGUGUAGCCACGGCGUGGAUUCUGGAUUUUCAAGAACUGGACCUGAGACCUGGAAGAGCUUAUCAGGAUGUGGCAGGAACUCUGGAACUGGAUAGUUUUAUUUUUGAAUUUUGAGACUGUUGACCUUGCUUUGAGAAGAGAUGACUGAGCAAGCACUGCCACCAGCGCUGUUUCUGGGAAUUCGAACACCUGAGUUGCUGCCAGACCCUUGGUGCAAACUCUGGCAGCACUCCAUCCAAAGUGAGCUACGUCCUGUGCCUCCUGAUUGCUGAGUGUUCACCUGGAUCUUCUGACCACCUUCCUUGUGCUCUUCCGUCAGCCUACAGAUGUGGUACCUGGAUUUUUGCCCAUGGUGAUUGCUACCACCUUACUACUGAAGAAGACAUCAUUCCAGUGGACACUGUGACCCAAGAGGCAUUCAGCCAUCAUGAUGUGGCCUUUACCUCCACUCCUGUCCUGUUCUACCCAGAUUCAGCACAGCCCUUUAUAGUAAAGUCAAACUCUUCAAGCCAAAUAGCUGAAGUUGUUUUAUCACGACAAAGGCCCAGUUUGUUCCAUGAGUGUGCAUUUCGUUUCUUCGGUUCGAGCCUUCAGAGACACAUGAUAAAUUUGGACCAGGGGACUUUUAGUUAUCAACACUGUCUGAAGCAUGGCAACAUCUUUUUGAGAACAACAUUGGACCACACCCCAUAAUCUCAAAUGAUUGAAGUUCAUGAAGUGUCUAGGAUCCCAUUGAGAUCACUGGACUCUGUCCCUUUUGCUUCAAAUCUGUAGUAGCCUACUGAAUGAGAAAGCAGAUAUUAUGACCCAUUGGGAUUAAAACGGGCACAAUGAACUCCUCAUAGCAUCUUCUUUGGGAUUACUCAGGAACCAGAACUUUUCACACAAAUGUAAGAAAUUCUACCAAGGAAUCCCUUUGCCUAACAGCAUCUCACACAGCUCCAAUCAGAUGCCAGAAAAGGCCUCUUGAUACAUCCAGCAUUUUGUGAACACCUUAUUCUUAGAUCAUUGGUUUUCCAAAGGCUUUGUGGCCGUGAAGCCCUUUGAAUGAAAACUGUGUGGAAGCCCAGAGUAAGAGUGAAGCUGCUCUGGAUGAAGCAGGAGUAGGGGGCCUGAAACCUGCCACAAGCAUCUUCUUUUACCACCAUGGUGACACCUAAGGAGACUUCUUUACAACAGCUAGAAUUCUGCAGAACACAGUUUGAAAACCACUGCCCUAGACAGCAAUAUGUUCGACCUGAAUGACAUUUUCAUCUAUACCUCUGCCGAAACAGUCCAAGUUCAGUUGUUGCCGAACAUUCUAAGGGAUACUAACUAUGAGCCAACUCAGAAAAGGCCAAGAAGAUGGGCGUGUCUUUGCCCCCCAGAGUCAUAUGGGCUGAAAGUGGUAUCAGAUGGACCUAGAUUAACAGCCCUCUGCCCUAGAUGGACUUCCACUCAUUCCUGGAAUUGGAUAGAACCAGAGAACAAUUCAUAUGUACUCUACACUGACAAACCCCUUUACCCAACUUCUUUCACACACACCAGAUGUUCUAGUGGUACUUGAAAUACAUGACUUGGAAGUCUUGAUCCUCCUUAGAUACCUGAAUUGCCAGGUAUUGAAGCUGAUAUUGAAGUUGAUGCCUCAUUGAGGCCAUAUUAGACCAACUUGUACGUUGAACCUCCCGUCAUCGGCCAUGAAAAAGAUAUUCAUCUACACUGCCAGUCAUUCCCUUUAAUCCUGUCAAAAUGAGGGGCUUAAGAAUGAGGAUGAUCGUCUGUUCUAGAGUCUAAUGAACACUGUAUAAGAGUUGAUGGUUGAAAAACCAAAACGCCUGAAACUCAAACCUAGUAUCUUGCCUACUAUCUCCAUGCCUCAGAUCUCAUCAGUCAACCAAUCUGAGGCCUUGACUUAUAUAUAAGGUGAUUCUCACAGAUAGGCUGAGUUACAGAGGAUGGAGACUUGAUUACCAAAGAAAGUAGGGCCAAUCUUGAUAAACCUGGCUCUCCCAACCUUAUCAAUCCCAGAUGUAGCAUAGGUUCCUAAACAGAACCUCAAGUCUGAAUUGAGGAUAAAGCCGUCUCCUGAGCUGAAAGCUCUGGGGAAAUGAACAGGAAAAUGAAAGCUGCUGUGCCUGACUGGCCCUUUAAGAUCAGAAAAAUGUAUCCAGAGUAAAGCCUGUGGAUUAACCCUGGAGUACUCAGGAUAAGAACUGAUUUACAGAGCUUCAAUAGUCAUCAUCCUGUUCUUCCAGAUCACGUCUGGCUAAUAGUAUGGCUGGCCCUGCUGAUGGUACCCUACUUGCCUGGUUACCUGAUUCAGCCCUUGCCUGCCUUUUUGGACAUGUUGCUGCAAACAGACUGACUGUGCUUGAGAAGACUACCAGUGAUCUUGGCCUAACUUAUACCCAGGCCCACCAAGGAAUUUUGAACAGAAGCAACCUGCACCUCAGCCUACCAGGACUUAAUGUUCACAACAGGAAGGACCAUUCUGUGUAAUCCUUGACCAACAGCUUUUUCUUGUUGUUAAGUGCAGAGUAAGCCUCUACACCUGUAUUUGAUUGUUUUCAGCACCUGGGACCCCUUUGAUCAGAUCUGCAGGAGUACAGCAGAUUGAAAUCAUUGUCCAUUCCUCUCUCGUGCACUAAUACAGAGAUGAGUCUGAUUCAUCAGCACUCACAGAAAUGUACCAGUUCAACUUGGCAAAAGACUUAACACAAGAAAACUCUUCCACUGAACUUAAAAUUUACCACUGACUUGAAUAGCCUCACAGAACUGUUCACUGGUGGGAGGCUAGUUAUCCUGCUUUAUGUCAGCAAGACAGUUGGGCCUUCAGACUCAUGACCACUGAGUUUACUUAUAUUGAAACUCUGUUGUAUCAUCCAGAGUAUGCUAUUGAACAUGAUUGUUUCAUUCAAAUGGAUUACAAACUUCCUGUGAACAGGACAAACUUACUCCUCAUGAUGUUCUUCCAGAGUAUUAUCGAGGAAGUAACAAUGUUAGCAUCAACUUUAUGACCAGAGAUUAAACUUUUGCGUUAUCUGGUCUUAUCAUUGGCAGGAGUUGUUUUUGAUUGACCAGCAUCCAUUCCAUCUCUUUGUAACAACUCCCUGAUGUUUCUUGGAACCAUAUUUACCUGUUUUCAGUCCACAUGGUUCAGACCUGAUCCAUCAGCAUAGUCCAUCUCCUUGACUGUAGUGAUUGGUUCAGGAAUGUUCAUGUGAUUCAAGUUGGUCUAGUGAUACUGAAGCCCAGGAAUUUUACUGAACUGUGGAGGAGGAGAAGCUCAGAAGCUCUCUUUAUUGAAGUCGCUUAGCUUUGUAAGAUGAAAAACUCAAACCACCAGGGCCCACCAUAUCAAAUGAGCCAGUCAGAAAGUGCCAGUGCAGAAGAAAGCAGAGCCAAAUGAUGGAGAGACUUGAGUCCUGAUAACAAAGUUUGUGCCCCUGGAUCCAACCGUGCCUGAAGCUAGUAUAUCCCCUGGACUUUUCAGUUAUGUGAACCAAUAAAUACCCUGUUUUGCUUAAGUUACUUUGAGUUGGGUUUCUCUUGCUUGAAAUUGAGUCCUACCUGAUACAGUAUCUACCAAUAUCGAAACUUGACAGAUCCAAGUAUUUAUUAAAUUAGAGCUUAUGGCCAUACUGAAAUUAUCUUCCAAAUCGGAACGCAAAAUGAGACAGGAACUGACAAUAUUCAAGUUACUACAGAAGUAUGAAAAUUACAUGGUAGAAAAAUGUAGAAGAAAACUUAAAAGUUUAUCAAAAGGAUUGGUUAAAUAACACAUGGUUCAGCCAUAAAAGAAAAUCUAGGUGUCUGUUAAAAUGGAUGAAGUAAAUUUAUUGUGUGUAGACAUGGAAAAAUGGCCAUAAUAUAUUAAGUGAAACAAACUAUUGACAGGAAAAUGUAUGAACUCAUUUAAAAAUGUGCAUAUUUAUGUUUAUAAUGCAUAGAAAAGUCUAUUAAUGGCUUUCUUUGAACAGUGU
This is a long non-coding RNA of Equus caballus (horse), 5717 nucleotides long. The record is from Ensembl. NCBI's taxonomy places the organism in Eukaryota, Metazoa, Chordata, Mammalia, Perissodactyla, Equidae.